This 474-nucleotide ribosomal RNA is filed under the name uncultured soil bacterium. Its description in RNAcentral is "bacterial SSU rRNA". It matches the Rfam family "Bacterial small subunit ribosomal RNA", at positions 26 to 503 of the family's 1533-position model. The record is from RNAcentral.
AGAUUGAACGCUGGCGGCAUGCCUAACACAUGCAAGUCGAACGGGAGUAGCAAUACUCUAGUGGCGGACGGGUGAGGAAUACGUAGGAAUUUGCCCUUAAGUGGGGGAUAACCCGGGGAAACCCGGAUUAAUACCGCAUGACCUCGAAAGAGCAAAGUGGGGGAUCGCAAGACCUCACGCUUUUGGAGAAGCCUACGUCGGAUUAGCUAGUUGGUGAGGUAAUGGCUCACCAAGGCGACGAUCCGUAACUGGUCUGAGAGGAUGAUCAGUCACACCGGAACUGAGACACGGUCCGGACUCCUACGGGAGGCAGCAGUGGGGAAUAUUGGACAAUGGGCGCAAGCCUGAUCCAGCAAUGCCGCGAGUGUGAAGAAGGCCUUCGGUGUAAAGCAACUUUAAGUUAGGGAAGAAAAACUCGACGUACUAACACAGUGAGUCUUGACGGUACCGACAGAAUAAGCAACCGGCUAACUC